AUACGUAGGGUGCGAGCGUUAAUCGGAAUUACUGGGCGUAAAGCGUGCGCAGGCGGUUAUGUAAGACAGAUGUGAAAUCCCCGGGCUCAACCUGGGACCUGCAUUUGUGACUGCAUAGCUAGAGUACGGUAGAGGGGGAUGGAAUUCCGCGUGUAGCAGUGAAAUGCGUAGAUAUGCGGAGGAACACCGAUGGCGAAGGCAAUCCCCUGGACCUGUACUGACGCUCAUGCACGAAAGCGUGGGGAGCAAACAGGAUUAGAUACCCUGGUAGUCCACGCCCUAAACGAUGUCAACUGGUUGUUGGGUCUUCACUGACUCAGUAACGAAGCUAACGCGUGAAGUUGACCGCCUGGGGAGUACGGCCGCAAGGUUAAA
RNAcentral lists this ribosomal RNA (375 nucleotides) under uncultured bacterium. Its description in RNAcentral is "bacterial SSU rRNA". It matches the Rfam family "Bacterial small subunit ribosomal RNA", at positions 523 to 898 of the family's 1533-position model. The record is from RNAcentral.